AUCUGAACCUACAACUGACCCCUUUUCUUCCAUUCCCUUAACAGAUUAUCUUUCAUUUUCUUAUGUGGUCCGUUCGUUCAUCAUGUACUAUAAUCACAUUAAAAUUAACAGAGUAAAGAUUCCCUCUUAGAUACAAUGUAAAAGUGUGGUGAAUUGUGGAAAGCUGAGAGUGGAGAGGGACAAACCUGAUUUUGGGAUAGACCAGUCUGUGUUGCCAACAGAUGCUUAUCUGCAUCGCUCGGGUACCUGAGAAAGAGACCAGAAAAUGACAUCAGUUUCCUU
Molecule: long non-coding RNA, 282 nt
Filed under: Lotus japonicus
Lineage: Eukaryota; Viridiplantae; Streptophyta; Magnoliopsida; Fabales; Fabaceae
Description: long non-coding RNA (LJAP_LNC000016)
Source: RNAcentral